This 282-nucleotide unclassified non-coding RNA is filed under the name Umbelopsis sp. RNAcentral describes it as "partial contains 5.8S ribosomal RNA, internal transcribed spacer 2, and large subunit ribosomal RNA". The stretch from base 1 to 52 matches the Rfam family "5.8S ribosomal RNA", at positions 103 to 154 of the family's 154-position model. The record is from RNAcentral. Lineage: Eukaryota; Fungi; Mucoromycota; Umbelopsidomycetes; Umbelopsidales; Umbelopsidaceae.
AACGCAACUUGCGCCCUCUGGUAUUCCGGAGGGCAUGCCUGUUUGAGUGUCAUGAAAACCUCAAUCCCUCGGGUUUCUCGGAACCGCGAGGUGUAUUGGAUUUGGGUGUCUGCCGUGGCUCGUCCGCGGCUCACCUCAAAGGGCUUAGUGGGACCUUUCGGACCUCACAGUGUCUGGCGUAAUAAGUUUCGCUGGACCCGAGGAUUGAUCGGCGUCUGCUCAUAACCAACCAUAUUUCAUCGAUCUGACCUCAAAUCAGGUAGGGCUACCCGCUGAACUUAA